ACUUAGAAACCCAGAGCAUUUUAACCCUCAGUAGUGAGCACACAGAGAUAUUCCUUCAGCAUACCAUACUGCCAUAGAGUGAUGGAGGAAUGACACCAGUAAUUUGAGACCUCUUCAGUGGCUCUGUGAUACAAAGUUAAAACCAGGUCUGCUGCAGUUUGCGGGAGGUCCACUCCAGACCCUGUUUGCCUGGGUGUCACCAGUGGAGGCUGCAGAACAGAAAGGAUUGCCACCUGCUCCUUCCUCUGGAAGCUUCAUCCCAGAGGGACACUGGCCUGAUGCCAGCCACAGCUCUCCUGUACAAGUGUUUAUUAUAUCCCUCUAUAUGGCCAUGUGUACUCAUCGUUCACCUUCCACUUACAUGUAAAAACAUAUGAAUGUUGCAUAUGCUGAGAAGAAUGUGUAUUCUACAGAUGCUGGAGGAAAUGUUCUGCAAAUAUCUAUUACAUUUAUUUGCCCUAUUGUAUAAAGUAAUGAUUGUGAUUCUUUUUAAAUUUUUAUUCUAGAUUAUCUGCCUUCUAGAUAAUGAAAUUGUAAAAGUCUGUUUUGUGAUAAAAAUGUCUUGAAGCCUUCAGCUGAUCUUUAGGAUUUUACUCUAUUGUUUAAAAUGUAUAAAUUUAAGUGUACAAUGCAAUUUUAUUACAUGAUCAUAUUGUGUAGUGAUAAAGUCAUGGUUUUAGUGUAUUAAUCAUCUGAAUAAUGUACAUUGUACUCAUUAAGUAUGUCUCAUCAACCAAGCUCUUUCCAUCCUUCCACAUUUCUGACUCUCCAAUGUGUAUCAUUCUAUACUUUAUGCCCAUGCUUACAAUAUUGUGAAUAUACAGUAUUUGACUUUAUGUUUCCAAGUUUGUUUGUUUUAGAUCAUGGCCUCCAGUUUUAUACAUGUCAAUAGAGAGGACAUGACUUUAUUCUUUUCUAUAAUGAAAUUGUAUUUUAUUAUGUUUAUGUAGCAUAUUUGUUUAAUCUAAUUAUAUGGUGAUAAUCAGUUUAGGUAAUUCUAUUGUUUUACUACUGUGAAUAAUGCUGCAAUACUUAUAUGAUAUGUAUUUUAUAUAAUGAUUUUAAUAUCUUUGAUAGAUACCCAGUAGUGGGAUUGCUGGAACAAGUGGUACUUACAGUUUUAGUUCUUUGAUAAAUAACCAUUCUGUUUUUCAUAGAGCUUAUACUAAUCUAUAUUCCCACCAACAGUAUUAAGCAUUCUUUCUUAGCAUCCUCAUCAUCUGUUUUUCUUUUUAUGUAAUAGCCAUUUUGAGUGGUGUAAUAUGAUAUCUAUCUUACGGUGGUUUUAGUUUGCAUUUCUUUGAUCAUUAGUGAUGUUGAACAUUGGCUUAUAUGCAUGCUGGCCUUUGGAUGUCUUCUUUUGAUAAAUGACUAUUCAUAUUAUUAAUAGCUUUUAUUAUCCUUUCAAAACUUAAAUUUUGGUUUUCACAAACACAUGAAGGUUUCUUACACAGUUAAACUCAGGUCAUAGGGAUGAGUUGUAAAGAUUAUUUCAUCACCUGGAAAUUAAGCCCAAUACCCAAUAGUUAUCUUUUCUGCUUGUCUCCCUUUUUCUUCCCACCAUCCUCAAGUAGACCCCACUGUCUGUUAUUUCCUUCUUUGUUUUAACAAGUAUUACUUAGCCCUAACCUUUGAUGAAAACUAUUGGUUUUCUCUUCCAGCAUUAGCUUACUCAGAUUAAUACCCUCCAUCUCCAUCCAUGUGCCUGCAAAAAAAAAACAUAAUCUUGCUUUUUUAUAUGUAUAUUGGCAUAGUAUUCCAUGGUAUAUAUAUGCCAUAUUGCUUUAUUCUAUCAUUAAUGAACAUUUAUAUUAAUAUCAUGUCUUUGCUAUUGUAAAUACUGCUGCUAUGAAUAUUCAUGUGUAUGUCUCUGUGUGGUAGGAUGAUUUAUGUAUCAUCCUUUGGUACACACUUAGUCAUAAAAUUGCUUAGCCAAAUGGUAGUUCUGCUUUUAGCCUUUUGCAGAAUCACAAUACUGCUUUCCACAAUGCUUGAACUAAUUUAUGCACCCACAAACAGUGUAUAUAUGUUUCCCUUUCUCUGCAGUCUUGCCAGCAUCUGUUACUAUUUCACUUUUUAGUAAUAGCUUUUCUGACAGCUGUGAGAUUGUAUCUUAUUGUGGUUUUGAUUUGCAUUUAUCUAAUCAUCACUGAUAUUGAGCUUUUUUUAUACAUGAUUAUUGGCAGCAUGUAUGUCUUCUUUUAAAAAAAAUCUGUUCAUGUCCUUUUCCCAUUUUUAAUGGGGUUUUCUAUUGGAAUUGUGUUAAAGUUCUUUAUAGAUGUUGGGUAUUAGACUUUUUCAGAUGCAUAGUUUGCAAAAUUUUUCAGAUUUUUGUCAGAUGCACAGGUUGCAAAAUUUUCUCCCAUUCUGUAGGUUGUCUGUGUACUCUGUUGAUAGUUUCUUUUGCUGUACAAAGUAACAUUUUAAUGGUUUUAUUUGUUUUUCCUGUUGCUUGAGUUUAUUAUAUAUUCUAGAUAUCAGUGUAUUUCUUUUGUUUCUACCCUGACCUUUGUAAUUUAUAAUUUUCUACACAUUGUGAGUAGUUUCAUUUUGUUUUCCUAAAACUCUGAGUUGUCUUAUUUGACUUUUUAGAGCUUUUUACUUUUAAGUGUUGGAAUUUGUUGCUAUCAACUUUUCUAUUUUAGCGAUAUUUGAUUUUUCUUUUUAAUUUUAUAUAUUGUGUUUACUUUUUUAUUUGUCUCAACAUUUAAACAUUUUUAUUUUUACUUUUUUUGGUUCAUUGAUUUUUCAGGAGCAUGCUAUUUAAUUUUUACAUAUCUGUAAAUUUC
Molecule: long non-coding RNA, 2789 nt
Filed under: Homo sapiens (human)
Lineage: Eukaryota; Metazoa; Chordata; Mammalia; Primates; Hominidae
Description: HSALNT0409556
Source: RNAcentral